Molecule: non-coding RNA, 245 nt
Organism: Erythranthe guttata (spotted monkey flower)
Lineage: Eukaryota; Viridiplantae; Streptophyta; Magnoliopsida; Lamiales; Phrymaceae
Source: RefSeq, a predicted model, not a curated record
CUUAGAUCCAGUUAUUGGCGCCGCUUGAACGAAAACCAAAAAAGUUUCCGAUGUAUGGGAAUUGAUGUUUCUCAAUAUCAGAUUGCAGCCUUUAAUAGCUUUCGGAGGUUGAUUUGGUGAUAUUGGGGUCUAUUUUAUGGCUAUUGAUUAUAACAUUGGUGAUUAAUCACCAGAAGAAGAGUAAUGGGAAAUGCAUAUAGACAGUCGAUUAUACAAUUGAAGAUUGCUUGGUUGCAAUAUUUGGU